RNAcentral lists this ribosomal RNA (625 nucleotides) under uncultured Clostridium sp. RNAcentral describes it as "bacterial SSU rRNA". It matches the Rfam family "Bacterial small subunit ribosomal RNA", at positions 28 to 681 of the family's 1533-position model. Lineage: Bacteria; Bacillati; Bacillota; Clostridia; Eubacteriales; Clostridiaceae. The record is from RNAcentral.
GAUGAACGCUGGCGGCGUGCCUAACACAUGCAAGUCGAGCGAUCUUCUUCGGAAGAGGGCGGCGGACGGGUGAGUAACGCGUGGGUAACCUGCCUCAUACACAUGGAUAACAUACCGAAAGGUAUGCUAAUACAAGAUGAUAUAAGAGAUUCGCAUGGAUUUCUUAUCAAAGCUCCGGCGGUAUGAGAUGGACCCGCGUCUGAUUAGCUAGUUGGUAAGGUAACGGCUUACCAAGGCGACGAUAAGUAGCCGACCUGAGAGGGUGAUCGGCCACAUUGGAACUGAGACACGGUCCAAACUCCUACGGGAGGCAGCAGUGGGGAAUAUUGCACAAUGGGCGAAAGCCUGAUGCAGCAACGCCGCGUGAGCGAUGAAGGCCUUCGGGUCGUAAAGCUCUGUCCUCAAGGAAGAUAAUGACGGUACUUGAGGAGGAAGCCCCGGCUAACUACGUGCCAGCAGCCGCGGUAAUACGUAGGGGGCUAGCGUUAUCCGGAUUUACUGGGCGUAAAGGGUGCGUAGGUGGUUUCUUAAGUCAGGAGUGAAAGGCUACGGCUCAACCGUAGUAAGCUCUUGAAACUGGGAAACUUGAGUGCAGGAGAGGAAAGUGGAAUUCCUAGUGUAGCGG